AUCGUAACUCGCAUCUCGAUCAACUAUUUUGAAAAUUAGGACGCCGAUCGACAACUCUUCAGACAAUGUGUGAAUGAGACAGGCAUCAAUCGGGAGGAAUUAGAAGCUUUGAGGGAAGCAGCUGCGGAUGCAUCAUUGUCCAGCGAGCAAACAAGUUUCGUUUGCUGUUUGACUGCUCCAUUGAUUUCAGAUCAACAGCUCAACAUAACAAGCGUCCAAAACAUAGCGAAUAGACCCGGUUGCGAUGAAUCCAACGUCGACUUAUCUACCGUCAUCAGCUCAUGCGAAUCGGAUGGAGUCACUGCAAACACCUUGGAUUCAUGCGAAAAUAUCGCUCCUUUCAUGCACUGUGUCUACACAAAAUUACGUGAAGAAUGUCGUAAGCCAGAGUCAGAAUAAUUUUUCGGAGACAGGCUCUAAUAGAAAGAAAUCAAAAUUGAGCAGAACUUCUUUAACUACAACAUUGCAUUGAUGGACAAAAUAUGUGAACGUUCAGGAUAUUUCAAUAAAACAGAGAAUAAUCCCUCAUAG
This is a long non-coding RNA of Sitodiplosis mosellana (orange wheat blossom midge), 531 nucleotides long. RefSeq lists it as uncharacterized. Lineage: Eukaryota; Metazoa; Arthropoda; Insecta; Diptera; Cecidomyiidae. The transcript is spliced from 3 exons. The record is from RefSeq and is a predicted model, not a curated record.